Molecule: ribosomal RNA, 1013 nt
Filed under: uncultured Burkholderia sp.
Lineage: Bacteria; Pseudomonadati; Pseudomonadota; Betaproteobacteria; Burkholderiales; Burkholderiaceae
Description: bacterial SSU rRNA
Rfam family: Bacterial small subunit ribosomal RNA
Source: RNAcentral
GCAGCAGUGGGGAAUUUUGGACAAUGGGCGAAAGCCUGAUCCAGCAAUGCCGCGUGUGUGAAGAAGGCCUUCGGGUUGUAAAGCACUUUUGUCCGGAAAGAAAUCCUUGGCUCUAAUACAGUCGGGGGAUGACGGUACCGGAAGAAUAAGCACCGGCUAACUACGUGCCAGCAGCCGCGGUAAUACGUAGGGUGCGAGCGUUAAUCGGAAUUACUGGGCGUAGAGCGUGCGCAGGCGGUUUGCUAAGACCGAUGUGAAAUCCCCGGGCUCAACCUGGGAACUGCAUUGGUGACUGGCAGGCUAGAGUAUGGCAGAGGGGGGUAGAAUUCCACGUGUAGCAGUGAAAUGCGUAGAGAUGUGGAGGAAUACCGAUGGCGAAGGCAGCCCCCUGGGCCAAUACUGACGCUCAUGCACGAAAGCGUGGGGAGCAAACAGGAUUAGAUACCCUGGUAGUCCACGCCCUAAACGAUGUCAACUAGUUGUUGGGGAUUCAUUUCCUUAGUAACGUAGCUAACGCGUGAAGUUGACCGCCUGGGGAGUACGGUCGCAAGAUUAAAACUCAAAGGAAUUGACGGGGACCCGCACAAGCGGUGGAUGAUGUGGAUUAAUUCGAUGCAACGCGAAAAACCUUACCUACCCUUGACAUGGUCGGAAUCCCGCUGAGAGGUGGGAGUGCUCGAAAGAGAACCGGCGCACAGGUGCUGCAUGGCUGUCGUCAGCUCGUGUCGUGAGAUGUUGGGUUAAGUCCCGCAACGAGCGCAACCCUUGUCCUUAGUUGCUACGCAAGAGCACUCUAAGGAGACUGCCGGUGACAAACCGGAGGAAGGUGGGGAUGACGUCAAGUCCUCAUGGCCCUUAUGGGUAGGGCUUCACACGUCAUACAAUGGUCGGAACAGAGGGUUGCCAACCCGCGAGGGGGAGCUAAUCCCAGAAAACCGAUCGUAGUCCGGAUUGCACUCUGCAACUCGAGUGCAUGAAGCUGGAAUCGCUAGUAAUCGCGGAUCAGCAUGCCG